GGCUUAGAAGCAGCCAUCCUUGAAAGAGUGCGUAAUAGCUCACUGGUCAAGUGGUGAUGCGCCGACAAUGUAGCGGGGCUUAAGCACACCGCCGAAGCCGCGGCGCCCUCCCUUUUGUUGGGGGGGUGGGUAGGGGAGCGUCCUGCGCGGGGGGAAGCCGUCGUGUGAGCGUCGGUGGACUGCGUGGGAGUGAGAAUGCAGGCAUGAGUAGCGAGUGGCGGGUGAGAAUCCCGUCCGCCGAUUGACUGAGGGUUCCAGGGCCAGGUUGUUCCGCCCUGGGUUAGUCGGGUCCUAAGGCGAGGCCGUCAGGCGUAGUCGAUGGGCAACGGGUUGACAUUCCCGUACCGGACGGCGGCCGUCCGAUGCCGGCUGGGCGGGGCGUGCUCGUCCCUGCGCGUCUUUUUUUCCGUGCCUUUCGGGGUGCGGGGGGCGUGUGGGCGCGGUGCGUUCUGUUUGGUGUGGCAAGCGUGGUAACAGGCGUGACGCAGUGAGGUAGCCCGUCCGUGUCUUAUGGCUUGGCACGGCCAAGGGUGUGGCCCGCCGCCGAGGCAAAUCCCGGCGGUGUGUGGGUGAGGCCUGAUGGGGACCGUUGAUGGGAAGCGGGUGAUCCUGUGCUGCCGAGAAAAGCGUCGACGCGAGGCCGUUGUCCGCCCGUACCCGAAACCGACACAGGUGGUCAGGUAGAGUAUACCGAGGCGUUCGAGUGACUCGUGGUCAAGGAACUCGGCAAAAUGCCCCCGUAACUUCGGGAGAAGGGGGGCCCUGCGCGUGGUCCGCCCGUGCGGCGGGGAGCGUGUCGGGGCCGCAGAGUCCAGGGAGAAGCGACUGUUUAUCAAAAACACAGGUCCGUGCCAAGCCGCAAGGCGAUGUAUACGGACUGACGCCUGCCCGGUGCUGGAAGGUUAAGCGGACUGGUCAGCCCCCGUGUGGGGGUGACGCCGGGAAGUUAAGCCCCAGUAAACGGCGGUGGUAACUAUAACCAUCCUAAGGUAGCGAAAUUCCUUGUCGGGUAAGUUCCGACCUGCACGAAUGGCGUAACGACUUCUCCGCUGUCUCGACCACGAACUCGGUGAAAUUGCAGUACGAGUAAAGAUGCUCGUUUCGCGCAGCAGGACGGAAAGACCCCGGGACCUUUACUGCAGCUUGGUAUGGGUGUUCGGCGCGGUUUGUGCAGGAUAGGUGGGAGACGGUGAUCCGGUCGCGUCAGCGGGCGGGGAGUCGCUGGUGAGAUACCACUCUGGCCGUGUUGGGCUCCUAACCUCGGCCCGUGAUCCGGGUCAGGGACAGUGCCUGGUGGGUAGUUUAACUGGGGCGGUUGCCUCCUAAAGGGUAACGGAGGCGCUCAAAGGUCUCCUCAGCCUGGUUGGUCAUCAGGUGGCGAGUGCAAGUGCACAAGGGGGCUUGACUGUGAGACUGACAGGUCGAGCAGGCACGAAAGUGGGAACUAGUGAUCCGGCGGUCGCGUGUGGAAGCGCCGUCGCUCAACGGAUAAAAGGUACCCCGGGGAUAACAGGCUGAUCCUGCCCAAGA
Molecule: ribosomal RNA, 1530 nt
Filed under: human oral metagenome
Description: bacterial LSU rRNA
Rfam family: Bacterial large subunit ribosomal RNA
Source: RNAcentral